GGGCUUACUGUGCUGACAGCAAAGCUCGUGUUGCUAAGGCUGCGAUGUAUUCUGGGGCCCGUAUAAGGGAUGACUUCUGCCGUCCCAUGAUGCUAGAGUCUGCUCGUGUGGGUUUUUAUGUUUGGUUUGUUUUGGUUUAUUUGAUUGUUUUGUCCCUUAUUUCCAUCUUCUCAGGCAACAAGUGUGGGUCCUUAGGUCCCUUCUGACUCCCUUCUUCUGCCUGGCCUAAGCUCUCAUGGGAUUUAAGGUUCCUAAUUAGCAUCCUUAUUCCACCUGCAGCCUUAACACCGUUAGGCCAUGUAUCUCUUUCCCAGGAUCUAGGGAUUAGGAUGUGGGUGUCUUCACACAGUCAUCAGCUAGUAAGUGAAUUGAAUUAAAUUGUAUCAGGUCCAGGAAUGUAAAUACACAGAAGCUCAGAACAAUUGUGAACUCUGCCUUCUCUUUUCUGUUUUGUUAAUCAUGCCAAGAAGGUG
This 473-nucleotide long non-coding RNA is filed under the name Androctonus crassicauda. The record is from RNAcentral. Lineage: Eukaryota; Metazoa; Arthropoda; Arachnida; Scorpiones; Buthidae.